ACCGGUUGCGAACCCACAGCGCCGCGGAGGGAACGCCUGCGCCUCGGCCGGACACUAAGAGUUAAGAUGUGGCGGAGGGGGUGGCGGGGGAGGGGCGGAGAGGAGAAAGUGGCGAGGGGGAGGGAGGCGGGGGGGGGGGGGGGGGGGGGGCGACAGAUUUCCAGCUUCUACGACGCUCUGCCUAAAUUAAAAAGCAACCAAUCGGAACGGCCGGAAGGGGGGCCGCGCGUCCUGAGCCAGUCAUUCCGGGCCUGCCAAUCACCCAGCGGGUAGCCAAUCAGCGGGGGCCCUGGUGCUCGACUUCCUUGUAUUUGGGAAAGUGUGGUGGUGGGUGCGCGCUCGCGGCGGAGGGUAAACAUUCGACAGUCCCUGCUCUGAGAGGGAGGGACAGAGAGCGAACUGUCAGAUCCCUGCGAGAGCGGGCGGGCGAGCGAGGGAGAGGGAGUGAGAGAGAGAGAGAGAGAGAGGGAGGGAGAGGGAAAGUGAGAGAGGGAGAGAGCGCGAACGAGGGCGCAGAGCGAGCUCCCGCUGCAACUCCGCUCCGGCUCGGCCAGCGCCAGCGCCGUCGGUGCACUCUACGAGCCGUGCAACGUGCCCACUGGAGUUGGUUGUGUAUCAAGGAUCCCCUAUAUGCACACACACACCUCCACCUCCACCAAUGCACUCUUCUUCCUCCUCCUCCUCCAGACAACUGCUGGGAAAAAAAUAAAACACCAACCCCAACCGUCAGCAACAAGGAAAUACCCAGGCCUUGGGAGCCCUGGGGACUAACGGGCAGUUGGUAGAGCGAUCGACAAGGCCGGUGGCUGGAGAAAACCUAAGAAAUUGCGGAGAGAGAGAGAAAUGAAAACUUGCGAAAGUUUCCUUGGAAGGUGGGUCGGCUGGAGGUCGUAGAGGUACUGACGAACACUUUUUGGAACGCCUGGGAGAAUUAAAGGUAGAAAUGCCUGUCGACCUCUGUUCCACGUUUGCGGAUUUUCCGUGCUGGGGUCCAGCCUCCUCUCCCCGCGAUUCGGUUGCAGCCUCCCCCUCCGCGGACCGCAGAGUUCAGAGGGCCUGAGUUCAGGGCCUGCUGACCCCGGCUCUCUCCGAGAUCCACCUCCCCGCUGCCCCCAAGCCCUGGAGCCCUGGAGGAAAAGCAACCACGGAGUUGGACCCCCUGGGUCUUCAAAGACUCUGGCCCAGCCCAGGGCCCAGAGCCUGGGAUUUACAGAAGGGGGGCACUCCGAGUCCAUUCCCGAACGGUGCUGUGCCUGGAAGGGGGCGCGCUGGCUCAGAAUAAGGGUCUAACGCUUGGCUACAGUUCGAAUGUGGGGGGAGUAGGGGUCACAGAGGACUGGCCUCGCAGGCGGGUAGGUCGCAUUGUUUGGGAACGCGCCUGGAUCUAGGAAGCCGAGGCUGGGGAGGCGGGGGGGGGGGGGGGGGGGGGGGGGGCAGGGCUGGAGGAGGCUGGUGGCUUUGUGAAGUUUCG
This 1471-nucleotide long non-coding RNA is filed under the name Lynx canadensis (Canada lynx). RNAcentral describes it as "lncRNA (ENSLCNG00005003354.1)". The record is from RNAcentral. Lineage: Eukaryota; Metazoa; Chordata; Mammalia; Carnivora; Felidae.